Long non-coding RNA from Neoarius graeffei (lesser salmon catfish), 809 nucleotides. RefSeq lists it as uncharacterized. NCBI's taxonomy places the organism in Eukaryota, Metazoa, Chordata, Actinopteri, Siluriformes, Ariidae. The record is from RefSeq and is a predicted model, not a curated record. The transcript is spliced from 5 exons.
GUGUGUGGGGGGGGGCAAACUGCUUGUCAUACUAACAAGAUCUGUUUUUGUUUGGCAGAUUACCAGUUCGACUGAAGAUUGCCAUUUCGACUUUGAAGCUUGCCAUUACAACUUUGAAGGACGCAAAAGAGUUCUAAGAUGCCACGUGGAAGCAAGCAGUCCCGGGCGGCGAAGGCACGCCACGUGAGCAGGCAGCUGUCUGCUGAAGAAGAGGUUGCGGCGCCUCUUGAAAUACAGCCAGCAUCGCAAAGCAAAUCUCAAAGCAAAUCUCAAAGCAAAUGUCUGAGCGAAUGUCUGAGCGAAUGUCCAAGCCAAAGGCAAAGCCUUGCAAGCAAAGUCAAAGAAAGUCAAAGCCCUCUAAACUCUCAACCUCUCAAACUCUCCUCAAACUCUGAACCUCUCAAACUCUCCUCAAACUCUGAACCUCUCAAACCCUCCUCAAACUCUGUGUCAGUUACUGUAACUUCUACCAAUGCUACUAAUGAUUGUUUUCAGUCUGUCGAUGCUCCAGCGAAGCCUCUCCUGAUGGGAUCGUUUCAUCAAGGCCAUUCGCGCUUUGGUGACAUCAAAGACAAGCAGUGCGGCCCAGUCAGCCUGGUUGCAGUUUUGCGGUCCAAGACUAAGAAUGUUCUUACAUGGACGGCCAGAGAUUUAGACGACAUAUUGAUGAGAGGAAGUGCUUUGUAUAGACGUCUGAGAAGUGCAGAUCAAAUCAGUGAUAAAAUGCAUGGACAUGUAUCAGUCACAGAACUACCAACUAAACACAAUGUGUGGAAUUCUGAAUUUUCAAUAAACUUUGCUGAAUCUUA